GUAGUUGGCGGGGUAACGGCCCACCAAGCCUACGAUCAGUAACUGGUGUGAGAGCACGACCAGUCACACGGGCACUGAGACACGGGCCCGACUCCUACGGGAGGCAGCAGUAAGGAAUAUUGGUCAAUGGACGCAAGUCUGAACCAGCCAUGCCGCGUGGAGGAUGAAGGUCCUCUGGAUUGUAAACUUCUUUUAUUUGGGAAGAAACCACCGAUUUCUAUUGGUGUUGACGGUACCAGAUGAAUAAGCACCGGCUAACUCCGUGCCAGCAGCCGCGGUAAUACGGAGGGUGCAAGCGUUAUCCGGAUUCACUGGGUUUAAAGGGUGCGUAGGCGGGUUGGUAAGUCCGUGGUGAAAUCUCCAAGCUUAACUUGGAAACUGCCGUGGAUACUAUCAAUCUUGAAUAUAGUGGAGGUGAGCGGAAUAUGUCAUGUAGCGGUGAAAUGCUUAGAUAUGACAUAGAACACCCAUUGCGAAGGCAGCUCGCUACACUAUUAUUGACGCUGAGGCACGAAAGCGUGGGGAUCAAACAGGAUUAGAUACCCUGGUAGUCCACGCCCUAAACGAUGAUUACUCGACAUCAGCGAUACACUGUUGGUGUCUGAGCGAAAGCAUUAAGUAAUCCACCUGGGAAGUACGACCGCAAGGUUGAAACUCAAAGGAAUUGACG
Molecule: ribosomal RNA, 670 nt
Filed under: uncultured Bacteroidota bacterium
Lineage: Bacteria; Pseudomonadati; Bacteroidota
Description: SSU rRNA
Rfam family: Bacterial small subunit ribosomal RNA
Source: RNAcentral